This 107-nucleotide small nuclear RNA is filed under the name Cervus elaphus hippelaphus. Lineage: Eukaryota; Metazoa; Chordata; Mammalia; Artiodactyla; Cervidae. RNAcentral also lists the same sequence under 1 other name. The record is from RNAcentral.
GUGCUUGCUUCGGCAGCACAUAUACUAAAAUUGGAACAAUACAGAGAAGAUUAACAUGGCCCCUGCACAAGGAUGACACGCAAAUUUGUGAAGCAUUCCAUAUUUUU